GAAAGCCGUAUGAUGGGAAACUAUCACGUACGGUUUGGGAAAGGAUUUUUAACUAAUGACUUUAUGUUGGGGUUAAUCUUCUAUUUCAC
Non-coding RNA from Rhizoctonia solani, 89 nucleotides. NCBI's taxonomy places the organism in Eukaryota, Fungi, Basidiomycota, Agaricomycetes, Cantharellales, Ceratobasidiaceae. The record is from Rfam.